This 460-nucleotide ribosomal RNA is filed under the name uncultured bacterium. RNAcentral describes it as "partial 16S ribosomal RNA". It matches the Rfam family "Bacterial small subunit ribosomal RNA", at positions 338 to 795 of the family's 1533-position model. The record is from RNAcentral.
CCUACGGGGGGCUGCAGUGAGGAAUAUUGGUCAAUGGGCGAGAGCCUGAACCAGCCAAGUCGCGUGAAGGAUGACGGCCCUACGGGUUGUAAACUUCUUUUGUCAGGGAGCAAUUGGGUCCAUGCGUGGUCUUAGCGAGAGUACCUGAAGAAAAAGCAUCGGCUAACUCCGUGCCAGCAGCCGCGGUAAUACGGAGGUUGCGAGCGUUAUCCGGAUUUAUUGGGUUAAAAGGGUGCGUAGGCGGAAUAUCAAGUCAGCGGUAAAAAUUCGGGGCUAAACCCCGUCGUGCCGUUGAAACUGAUGUUCUUGAGUGGGCGAGAGGUAUGCGGAAUGCGUGGUGUAGCGGUGAAAUGCAUAGAUAUCACGCAGAACUCCGAUUGCGAAGGCAGCAUACCGGCGCCCAACUGACGCUGAGGCACGAAAGCGUGGGUAUCGAACAGGAUUAGAUACCCUAGUAGUC